This 253-nucleotide ribosomal RNA is filed under the name uncultured bacterium. RNAcentral describes it as "partial 16S ribosomal RNA". It matches the Rfam family "Bacterial small subunit ribosomal RNA", at positions 524 to 776 of the family's 1533-position model. The record is from RNAcentral.
UACGUAGGGUGCGAGCGUUGCCCGGAAUUAUUGGGCGUAAAGGGCGCGUAGGCGGCUUGAUGUGUCAAAGGUGAAAUCCCUCGGCUCAACUGAGGAACUGCCUUUGAAACUGUCUGGCUUGAGGCCGGGAGAGGGUAGCGGAAUUCCCAGUGUAGCGGUGAAAUGCGUAGAUACUGGGAGGAACACCGGUGGCGAAGGCGGCUACCUGGACCGGAACUGACGCUGAGGCGCGAAAGCGUGGGUAGCAAACAGG